RNAcentral lists this ribosomal RNA (252 nucleotides) under uncultured bacterium. RNAcentral's name for it is "partial 16S ribosomal RNA". It matches the Rfam family "Bacterial small subunit ribosomal RNA", at positions 524 to 776 of the family's 1533-position model. The record is from RNAcentral.
UACGUAAGGUCCGAGCGUUGUCCGGAAUCAUUGGGCGUAAAGGGUACGUAGGCGGGUAAGCAAGUUAGAAGUGAAAUCCUGUAGCUCAACUACAGUAAGCUUUUAAAACUGCUCAUCUUGAGAUAUGGAAGGGAAAGUGGAAUUCCUAGUGUAGCGGUGAAAUGCGCAGAUAUUAGGAGGAAUGCCGGUGGCGAAGGCGACUUUCUGGCCAUAAUCUGACGCUGAGGUACGAAAGCGUGGGUAGCAAACAGG